This 325-nucleotide ribosomal RNA is filed under the name uncultured eukaryote. RNAcentral describes it as "partial 18S ribosomal RNA". It matches the Rfam family "Eukaryotic small subunit ribosomal RNA", at positions 1470 to 1796 of the family's 1831-position model. The record is from RNAcentral.
CCCUUAGAUGUUCUGGGCCGCACGCGCGCUACACUGAUGCAUUCAACGAGCCUAUCCUUGACCGACAGGUCCGGGUAAUCUUUGAAUCUGCAUCGUGACGGGGAUAGAUUAUUGCAAUUAUUAAUCUUCAACGAGGAAUGCCUAGUAGGCGCAAGUCAUCAGCUUGCGUCGAUUACGUCCCUGCCCUUUGUACACACCGCCCGUCGCUCCUACCGAUUGCGUGUGCUGGUGAAAUGUUCGGAUCGGCCGUUUGUCGCGGUUUCCGCGUCAUGUGGCUGAGAAGUUCAUUAAACCCUCCCACCUAGAGGAAGGAGAAGUCGUAACA